Molecule: ribosomal RNA, 516 nt
Rfam family: Bacterial large subunit ribosomal RNA
AUGGAAGGGCCAUCGCUCAACGGAUAAAAGGUACUCCGGGGAUAACAGGCUGAUACCGCCCAAGAGUUCAUAUCGACGGCGGUGUUUGGCACCUCGAUGUCGGCUCAUCACAUCCUGGGGCUGAAGUAGGUCCCAAGGGUAUGGCUGUUCGCCAUUUAAAGUGGUACGCGAGCUGGGUUUAGAACGUCGUGAGACAGUUCGGUCCCUAUCUGCCGUGGGCGCUGGAGAAUUGAGGGGGGCUGCUCCUAGUACGAGAGGACCGGAGUGGACGCAUCACUGGUGUUCGGGUUGUCAUGCCAAUGGCACUGCCCGGUAGCUAAAUGCGGAAGAGAUAAGUGCUGAAAGCAUCUAAGCACGAAACUUGCCCCGAGAUGAGUUCUCCCUGAGACUUUAAGUCUCCUGAAGGAACGUUGAAGACGACGACGUUGAUAGGUCGGGUGUGUAAGCGCAGCGAUGCGUUGAGCUAACCGAUACUAAUGAACCGUGAGGCUUAACCUUACAACGCCGAAGGUGUUU